GUGAGGAAUAUUGCGCAAUGGACGAAAGUCUGACGCAGCCAUGCCGCGUGAAGGAUUGACGGCCCUAUGGGUUGUAAACUUCUUUUGUAUAGGAAUAAACCCUCGUUCGUGAACGAGGCUGAAGGUACUAUAAGAAUAAGCACCGGCUAACUCCGUGCCAGCAGCCGCGGUAAUACGGAGGGUGCAAGCGUUAUCCGGAUUUAUUGGGUUUAAAGGGUCCGUAGGCGGAUCGUUAAGUCAGUGGUGAAAUCCUACCGCUCAACGGUAGAACUGCCAUUGAUACUGGCGAUCUUGAGUAUGUAUGAAGUUGGCGGAAUGUGUGGUGUAGCGGUGAAAUGCUUAGAUAUCACACAGAACACCGAUUGCGAAGGCAGCUGACUAAUACACAACUGACGCUGAGGGACGAAAGUGUGGGGAUCAAACAGGAUUAGAAACCCGUGUAGUCC
This 446-nucleotide ribosomal RNA is filed under the name uncultured bacterium. RNAcentral's name for it is "partial 16S ribosomal RNA". It matches the Rfam family "Bacterial small subunit ribosomal RNA", at positions 354 to 796 of the family's 1533-position model. The record is from RNAcentral.